RNAcentral lists this ribosomal RNA (469 nucleotides) under uncultured Diversispora. RNAcentral describes it as "SSU rRNA". It matches the Rfam family "Eukaryotic small subunit ribosomal RNA", at positions 569 to 1040 of the family's 1831-position model. Lineage: Eukaryota; Fungi; Glomeromycota; Glomeromycetes; Diversisporales; Diversisporaceae. The record is from RNAcentral.
AGCAGCCGCGGUAGUUCCAGCUCCAAUAGCGUAUAUUAAAGUUGUUGCAGUUAAAAAGCUCGUAGUUGAACUUCGGGGUUUACCCAUUGGUCAGGCUUAAUUGUCUGUACUGGUGAGAUAAAUCUCUACCUUCUGAGGAACUUUCAUGUCAUUAAUUUGGUGUGAUUGGAAAUCAGGACUGUUACUUUGAAAAAAUUAGAGUGCUUAAAGCAGGCUAACGUCUGAAUACAUUAGCAUGGAAUAAUGAAAUAGGACGGACUGAUUCUAUUUCGUUGGUUUCUAGGAUCACCGUAAUGAUUAAUAGGGAUAGUUGGGGGCAUUAGUAUUCAAUUGUCAGAGGUGAAAUUCUUGGAUUUAUUGAAGACUAACUACUGCGAAAGCAUUUGCCAAGGAUGUUUUCAUUAAUCAAGAACGAAAGUUAGGGGAUCGAAGACGAUCAGAUACCGUCGUAGUCUUAACCAUAAACUAU